CCCCGUCGUUGCGGUCAACACCUCACUCUGCAUCUCAAGUCAGCCAAGAUACAUGGCGAGCUACUGGACCAGCUGGUAACAACGGGAAAGCCGUCAAUAUGGAGCUUGUGUUUACCGUUGCUAUGGUGAUAAAGUGUUCGCAAGGGAAUGCAGAGAUGAUUGAGAGAAAAACAGGAUUUGUAUCCGAGAGUGAAAUCUGCACACAAGUGACACCUGGAGUUUUUCAUGGGUUUU
Long non-coding RNA from Danio aesculapii, 234 nucleotides. RefSeq lists it as uncharacterized. The transcript is spliced from 3 exons. The record is from RefSeq and is a predicted model, not a curated record. NCBI's taxonomy places the organism in Eukaryota, Metazoa, Chordata, Actinopteri, Cypriniformes, Danionidae.